CUGGGGGUUGUACCUCCCUUCUCACUGGGCCUGCGUCCCCAUCUGUAACAUGGGGACUCUGUGGGGGUUGGGGCCUCCAGUUCUGCAUCUGCAGCCCCGCCUGAGCACUGGGUCUGCACUAGUGGCAGCGGACAACACAGAGGCUGGCAGUGCAAUGGGCUUUCCCUCUGCCUCCCAGCUGCACAGCUCUCCCUUCCCACUGCUAUUCCUCUGCCCAGGCCCGUCCCCACCUGUAUUCUUGGGACUCUAACUGCCUGCAGCAGAUUCUUCCCUGGAGGCCCUCUGGGUGGCUUGGCCAAAGCAUUGUUUUCAGGGACUGCACAGGAGUCCCACCCCACCCCUCAAGCCUGCCUCCCUCGAGUCUGAGCCAAAGGACCAGCAACUGAUCCCUCAUCCCGUUUUCCCUGGCAAGCCCAGCAUGGGUGCCAGAAAAGAUUUGUUGAAAGAACAAAUGAACUUCGCUUGGACUCCCCCUUUCUUAGGUCAGUAAUACUCCUGGCGUUGCCAUGCAGGGAAUUUUCUAACAUCAGCAAAUGUAAAGUAAUAUCUUGGACUGGAAGAGGGUGGGGACAGGACUCAGGGCUCCACACAACCAUUUGUUCAUCUUUGUGCUGCUCACAUGGAUGUGUUUGGUUCGUGGGAAUUAAGCAAGUUGUGACUUGGAGGUGUCUUUGCAUUUUUCUGUAUACAAAUAUUCAGAAUAUAAAAUAGAAUUAGAUAAGAUAUAUAAAAACAAAAAGAUUUGAGAUCUUUGAAAAAAUUCUGGUUUAGCCGUAUUUCCUAUUAUGAUGAAAAUGUUUUCCAUAAAAGAUAUAAAAUCCACUUUUUUAGAGUGUUGAGCAAAACUGGAACGUGUGCAUAAGGCCCCGAGUUC
This 874-nucleotide long non-coding RNA is filed under the name Marmota monax (woodchuck). The record is from RNAcentral. Lineage: Eukaryota; Metazoa; Chordata; Mammalia; Rodentia; Sciuridae.